UGAAUGUAUUAUUAUUAUUCUUAUUAUUCUUAAGGCUUACUUUAAGGAAGUGUUUCCCGUUUCCUCACGUGUUACCAGGUGUUUGCGAGUUAAAACUCUGGUCUGAUUUUCAGAUACCCCUCACCGUGUUGCCGUUUUGAUUACUUUAUUUGGGUGUAUGCUUUCACCGAUUCUUCAAGAUGAUAUAUUUGGUCAGAAUGUUUGCCGUUUGAUGUGAUCUCAUAAGAUAAACAUCUUUCAUUAAUCUGACCCGCAGGCACUGAAGUGAUGGAGACUGUUAUUCAUAAUAACAGUGUCGUAUUUUAUGAGAAUCACUGAUAGCAGUUUUUUAGUGAAUUAUUAUUAUUAUUUUUUUUAAUGCUGUUAAUAACUGCAUUUGUUUUCAAAAAACUUGUUUGGUAUAUCCAUGCUUUACUCCCUACCAAAAUCUUUUAUGCAAUGACCUUUACAGGUCGCUUAUAUUACUUCACACAAACACUACGUCCAUCUGCUCCUGGUUCGGCCCUCCGGUCCAAAUUUAGAACCCAGUUCGGCCCGCGAGUCAAAAAGUUUGCCCACCCCUGUUGUAAAGUCUCAUCUCGCGAGAGAAGUGGUUUUGGCUCUUUGAGAUAGAAAUUCCGAGCGCCUUCUCGAUUUUUCAGCAUAUGCCUAAUUUCAGAAUCACCUUGUAAAGAUUCAUCUUUACUAUAAGGUUUCGACUGUUUGAGGUAGAAAUCCUGUUUUUUCUCAGGAACGUCAGAAAUUGAGUUGAUGUAUGAAAUAAUACAUAACCCGACCUCCCAUGAGCCUUUUAAAUCGAUAUGUUGCGCUAAUUCCACUUUAAAUUCUGAAAGCGUGUUGUCAGGAAAGAUGUGCAUGCUAGCAUUUGAGGCUAAUGUUACGUAGAAUUCUCUCCGGACAUAACUAUCGGUUUUUAAAUGUCUUUAACGCUAUAUGCAGGCACCCAGCUGUCAAAUUUGGUUGGCCAGCCAACCCAGUGGAUGAGAAACUCCCUUUUGCCUGACACGGUGCGUGAUUUAAGAAUUUUCUGUAUACGGAAAAUCUUUUUUUUUUUUUUUUUUUACUUUUUGUAAUUCCGCUUUGUAAAAACUGCUUUCUAUUAGCACACCGUCCAAGUCUGAUAUUUUGUAGACAGGCGGGACGCGAUGGAGACAUUGUUAUCCUGAAUAUUUCGUCCGUGAAACUUUACAGAUAACUUUGUCUCCACAGGUGGAAAACUCGGUAAAAGUCGUCUGGCAGAUCUUUUUUGGGCCAUCUUCUUGUUGAUGUCUCUUUCUCGGCUUCAGGUCUGAGGGGCUGAGUCCUAGAAACGGGGCUUCUCUUAUACAGAGGUGUGCUAAUGAUUACACGCCUUCUCCUAAAAAAAACGCCUCCUCAUGUCCAUAGGUAUGCUAAUGAUUACACCCCCCAUCCCAACCUACUGUGGAAGUAGAUAAAAAAAGAGGGGGAUAUGUGUGUGUGUGUAGUAAAGUAGUGUGAGGCUAAUCUAAAAGUCAAUUUACGUUUCGCUCCAAUCAUAUUUGUCCAGACACUGCUUGCUACAAAAAGCCUUGAAAUACUCUCACCAGAUGCUUGCAUUCUCUCAUGCCAUUCCGUUAAAGGCACGUUAACUAUUGUUUGAAAAAUGCCACAUUCGCUAUUAAACACUUCUAGCGUCAGAUACAAUAGAUCGAUUAGCUCUCCAUCUUCUACCCCAUCGGUAAUUGAGGAGAAACUUUAACCCGUAAAAAACAUUUCCCGCUGGCCGUAAUUCUUGAAACCCAGGUUAUGUUCAGCUCACCUUGUAGGCCGUACUCGUUUAGAAAUUCUGUCAAAACCUGGGGCAGGAGCUGAUUUAACACUCCCCAGUCAUUUGAGUUUAACAGCCCAUACGUAUUGUUUGCUUCAGAGUUGUUGCUGGUUGGUCCAGACAGUUCUCGGUUUUUCAUGAAGAAAAAUAGCUCCCCGACUUCAUAAAAAAAUUGAAACCCCCAUAGAGUCUCCGUUGUCAUGUCCCAGUUCUGUUCAAGUUUUUCCGUAGGAGGCUGUUGGAUACGUUUGAGUCAUGACUACAUUUUACCGCGGCACCAUUGACAGCGUCCUCUCCAGCUGUAUUGCUGUUUUUGGUGGCGGCUGCACUGACUACGACUUGAACGCCCUGCAGCGCAUAGUGAACACGGCUGGUAAGAUUAUUGGUGCUUCGCUCCCCUCCUUGAAGGACAUUUACACGUCCCAUCUCACCCGCAAGGCGACCACGAUUCUGAGUGAUGUGAGUCACCCCGCUCACUCUUUGUUUGAGCUUCUGCCCUCUGGGAAGAGGUACAGGAGCCUGCGCUCCCGCACCACCAGACUCUCCAACAGCUUCAUACUCCAGGCUGUUAGGAUCCUGAACUCGCCCCCCCUUUCUGCGUAGCGUCCUGUACUUUGCGCUAUGCUCACUGUCUGCUGUACGCACACUGGCUCAGUUUUGCUCCUCUUAUUUAUUGGGUUAUUUGUUUAUUAUUUAUUCAUCACUCAUUUUAUUUAUUUAUUAUUUAUUGUUUGUGCCUUCUUGUUUUUAUUUUGUAUCGUCUACUUGUAUGUUUAUCGUGUACUGUGUCUCGUCACCGUGGGAUGGAGGAAACGGAAUUUCGGUUUCUUUGUGUGUCUUGACAUAUGAAGGGAUUGACAAUAAAGCUGACUUUGACAUAUGUUUUUUUCCAGGAGCAUUUAACAAACCGUCACCAUCUUUACGGCUAAAAUGGAUACUAACAGGUGUUUCCGCUAUCAUGAUUUAAGCUUCAGGUUUACAGUUUAACACCGUCGCUGUAGCUCUUUAAACUCAGCACUCACCAGCCCGACCUUUAAUAUACCUGCAGUAGGUCCACCCCCUGUCUCCUUAAAACCACACCUUUGUCACGUGUUUUAUUCAAGACAUGUUAGACUACUCCCCUAAAACUAUCUAAACAAAAUGUAACAUACGAAAUAUGUUAGAAGUACAGCAAAUAUACUAAAAUAUAAGGCUUUCAGAGGCCUUCAACUGUCUUCUCAAAAAUGAUCUCCAACACACCCCAGUCAUUUGAGUUCAACAAACCGGUACGUGCUGGUUGGUUCAGAGUUGUUGCCUUUGCGAAUGGUUCAACUCUAAUCUUUCUCUUUUGUCCUGACACCUCUCUAAAAACCCACAGCUGUACGAAUCGUUCAACUUUGCUUUAAUUCUAAUCUGCAGGUUCAGAGUCGUUGCCCUAAAUUUUCCUCCUUUGUCUUGACCCCCUCUCUAAAAACCCACACCUGUGCGAAUCCUUCAACUUUGCUUGUAAUUCUAGAGCUACAGGCCUCACAGUCAGUUUUUCUCCCUUUGCGAUUGCUUCAACCCUUAGGAUACUAAUUUCAAACAUGUCCCAACAUAACACCUCUAUUGCAAGUCUAAUCUUCAGACAUUUUGUCUCCAAAAAAACACACCUCUACACCCCCCUCAAAAACGGUCAGUUUUCCCCUUUGGCGAUUGCUUCAACCCUUAGGAUACUAAUUUCAAACACGUCCCAACAUAACACCUCUAUUGCAAUUCUAAUCUUCAUUUUGUCUCCAAAAAAACACACCUGGACAUCCCCCACAAAAGCGGUCAGUUUUCCCCCUUUGCGAUUGCUUCAAAUCUUAGGAUACUAAUUUCAAACAUGUCCCAGCAUAACACCUCUAUUGCAAUUCUAAUCUUCAGACAUUUUGUCUCCAAAAAAUCCCCAAAAAACCACCUGGACACCCCCCACAAAAGCGGUCAGUUUUUCUGCCUUUGCGAAUGCCGUCCCUGGUGUUAUCUUAGUGACAGUACACCCCUGCAUCAUUUGCAAAACAAUAGACAUACACCUGCCUCAUUUGCAUAACAAUAGAAUACACCUGCUUCAUUUGCAUAACAAUGACAUCAAAGGAUAAGUGCAUUAUUAUAGUGUGUCACAGGUCUGCAGGACAGUAAUGUUUGCACAAACAAGUGAAACUUGCCUUGUUACUUGUUGGCUUAAACUGCAGUACUGUGAGGAGCAUUGUUUUAUCAAAUAAACACUUGGGAUAUUCCUCAUUGCGCUCUCAAUUACAGUGGAGAUGUGGCAUUGUGCAUCUAUUUGGAGAGCACCAGAGGUUAGGAGGACAGGUUUGAAUAUUUCCCCCAGCAGUUCUGCCCUCUAGCAAAUCCGCAUGUUUCCCUCAAUGAAGGAAAGAUGACGAGCAACAAACCGGUCCACACGAAUGGGUAGGCUUUAAACUUGAGUAGGCCUUUUUUUUAUGUUUUUGAACUUUGCUUCAACAGCUGCGGAACUUGUAGUGAUGCUGGUGCUUUUGAAGAGAGGGACCAUUAUUGCUGUCCAGAGUGGCAAGUAACUUACAAGUCUUGUUAUGUGGGGAAUAAUCUCAGGGAGGAAGUGGAUGUUGUCUCGAUCCCCAUCAGCCAUGGCAAUCCCAUCGGCAGAUCAUCUUAAUACAGUGUGCGACAUCUACCCUGACAAAACAUGGGGGUAGAUGUCCAGGUUGAUUCCCACGUGAAAUGUUAAAGCUCUUCAGAUCAGGAUGAGGGCCUCUGCACGACUGGGAUACUGGAGCUGGUAUGCCCUGUCAUAACACCCUGAUACAGGAAGAUAUGGCCAGACAUGCCAUUCGGUCUCAUCAGUUUUUUAACUAUUGAGCCAGUUGCAUCAAUAUUGGGGUGGCCAAAUUUGGCAGGUGGCUUGGCUCAGAGUCUCCGAAGUCCAUCAGUUUAUUUGCCUGUGAUGCUCGCCAUACAUGUGGUUCCAUCCUGCCCUCACAAAGUUCCUUGGCUACCUCCACACGCAACUGUCCAGAUAGAAACCAGUGUCUAGGGCAGGGGUGGGCAAUUAUUUUUUCCAUGGGGCCACAUGAGAAACAGAAAAUAUUGUGGGGGGCCGGGUCAAAAGGCUUAACUCAAUUCUACAUAAUAUUAAUUGUAAUUGUAGUUUUUUAAUUGUAUUUUUUUUAAUAAAAAGUAGUAAAUAGCAUUAUUUUUGACAAGCUGGUAAGAGUAUAUGUUAUGAUUAAGCCAGGGGUGGGCAAACUUUUUGACUCGCGGGCCGAACUGGGUUCUAAAUUUGGACCGGAGGGCCGAACCAGGAGCAUAUGGACGUAGUGUUUGUGUGAAGUAAUAUAAGCGACCUGUAAAGGUCAUUGCAUAAAAGAUUUUGGUAGGGAGUAAAGCAUGGAUAUUCCAAACAAGUUUUUUGAAAACAAAUGCAGUUAUUAACAGCAUUAAAAAAAAUAAUAAUAAUAAUUCACUAAAAAACUGCUAUCAGUGAUUCUCAUAAAAUACGACACUGUUAUUAUGAAUAACAGUCUCCAUCACUUCAGUGCCUGCGGGUCAGAUUAAUGAAAGAUGUUUAUCUUAUGAGAUCACAUCAAACGGCAAACAUUCUGACCAAAUAUAUCAUCUUGAAGAAUCGGUGAAAGCAUACACCCAAAUAAAGUAAUCAAAACGGCAACACGGUGAGGGGUAUCUGAAAAUCAGACCAGAGUUUUAACUCGCAAACAUCUGGUAACACGUGAGGAAACGGGAAACACUUCCUUAAAGUAAGCCUUAAGAAUAAUAAGAAUAAUAAUAAUACAUUCAAUUUAUAUAGCGCUUUUCAAUAACCCAAAGACGCUUUACAUGGAAUAAAAAAAAAGAGUGGAGGGGGGGGGGGAGAGACAGUAGGUUAUAGUUAACAGGACAUGGGUCAGCAGUGCAAAGGGGAUGGAUGGAGGAGCAGGAGGGGCGGGAGCGGAGGUUGUUGAGGUUGCCAGUACGGGAGGUGGGGGUGACGGGGGGUUGGUAGUCCAAAAAGAGGAGAUGGGUGAGCCAUCGGGGAAAUGCCGGACAGAUGUAGCGGCGACGGAUCCCAGCCUCGUGUGGAAAGUGCAGUGGACCAGGUGGUGAUGCCAGUCGACCUCGACUGCACCCGCUCGAACGGCAGGCCCCAACGCACCACGGCGGCACACAGCAGAGCUACGGUUGGCGAGCCCGCAGGGAGUGGAGCCCGCCCCCCGCGGACGCCGGACGGAAGGCCAGAGAGCUGGGCCAGAGCUGCCGUCGAGUCCGCAGCAGGCGGCCACAAGCUCCGAGUCGGGAGGCAGGAGGGUCCGGUGGUGGUUUUGUCCAGUUGGCUGUUGGCUAGCUGGCUAACGUAGUUGGUAGAGGAGACAGAUAGGUGAGAGCGGAGCUGCGGGGAAGCGAGGUGGACGGAAGACAACACGAGAAAAAAUAAAAGAAGAGACAGGUGGACUGAAAACGGGAAAACGAAAAACAAGUAACAGACACGGUCCGGGACAGAAGCGGCAGUCAACAAAUCUGACGCCAGCGUGCUCUAACCCGGAAUACAACAGACAGUGGGGGAGGGUCGCACAGCGAUGAAUUUUACAGGUUAAGAUUAGUCGCAAACAGGUGGUGCAUCAAUGUCCUUGAGCAUCCUGCAUUGUUUGAAAAUGAAAAUGGUCGCUAGUUUUAAUCCCUGCUAUGUGUACAACUCAUAUUCAAAAUGCAUUUUUUUACAACAAACUUGAGAGCCUCCCCUUCAUUUUCAGUGGGAACAGUGUUGUUGGUCUCCCAUUUUUGCUAGUGCGUCAUAGUCUGGACUAAAAUUUGUUGUGGCAAUUCUUAGGCGAGAUCCGAGGUGUUGGUCCGUUUACCUCGAUCUGUGACGGGUUGAUGUUGACGUUCAUGUGGCUGAACGUCAAGUCGCGUACGUCGAGCCAAAUUGGCCACUCUCUUUUAAACGCUCGGCACUGUGUCCACCUUACUUUUACUUGGGCGACUCAUUUUAAUGGAAGGAUUCCAGGGGAAGGUUUGUGGGUGGCUUUAGCGCAAAACUGCAUCUGAAAGCUCAGCGCGCGAAUUACAAGAAUGCUGUCGUCACAGCCCACGCUCUAAAUUCGGGACUGAUACAAAUAGAGCGCGAGUGCGCCAUGUCCGUACUACUGAGUACGUACACGCACAUAGAGCGCGAGUGCGCCAUGUCCGUACUACUGAGUACGUACACGCACUUGUGAGUGUUCACCGAGCUUUCUGACACGGCUUCCGGUAGUAAAUGCGCAGGCGAGCGCUUCCCCAUCUACUGGGGAAACGCAGUCAUUGCAGGCAAAAUGACCAAAAAAAAAAAAAAGUUUAAUAAUACAAUUUGUUCAGGAUUGGCGGGCCGGAUUAAACGGUCCCGUGGGCCGGAUGUGGCCCGCGGGCCGUAGUUUGCCCACCCCUGGAUUAAGCAAUGAAAAAAUGAGGUUGCCUUCAAAAAAGUGUUUAUUCAGAUUUUCCCAAGACAAUGUUAAACAAAAUGUGAACAUUUUUAACAUUUGUGACUCAUUAUAUUAAUCAUUUUCAGUCAAAUUCACAAGAAAACACGUUUUGAGUUUCACGUUCAGUACCGUUGGAAAGAGAUUCUUAGCUUUCUAAAGACACACGUCUUGUACUCUAAAUAUCAAACAAGAUACAUCAUAUUAUAAUGAUUGUCACUAAACUGUGACUUUGAGAAAAAGGCCAUCAAAGAAAGUGUUCCAUUCACUGCUAACUGGUGCCUUUACAUGCCAACAUUUGUAGUCUAACCACCUCAUUUGGUGUUUUUCAGUUCUUUUUUUCUUGUUCAGUGUGAGAAAUCUAGUCUCUGUUGGGCUUUAACAAGUACAUCAAAGUCAGGUUGAAUGUCUGAGGUGCAGAUGCGAAGCAAAGCUGACAGAUCAUCAGUGAGAGAGGAUCUAUAUCUGGAUUUGGUAAACUUCAUUACUGAGAAUGUUUGUUCACAUAUGUAGGUAGAGCCAAAGAGUACCAACAUCUUCUGAGCAUGUCUCCUCAUGUUUGGAAAGUUCUCCUUCUUGAGAGAAGAGUAAAAAUCCAGCAGCGAUCUUGACUUAAACUGCUCUGCCAGUACUGCAUCAGACUGCAGGUCAAUGAGUUCUAGCUGAACAUCACUGGGUGCAUGAUCCACACUGCAGGUAAAGGGAGAGGAAAUCAUGCACAGUUCAUCCUCGAUUGUUCUGAGGUCUUCAAAGCGCCUUGAAAACUCACCAUGCAAUGCUCCUAACAUGGAUGAGUACCUGCAGAGGUGAUCAGCUGAAGGUGUAACUUCUUUCAGGGUUUGCAUGUGAGUGAGAGUGUUGCUCUCCAGUUGGCUUGAAAUAAACUGUAUCUUUCUCAUAAAAGCUUUCACCAGGCUGCUCAUUUCAUGAACAAAAAGGCCCUUGCCUUGCAGUUUGGUAUUCAGUUCAUUCAUCAGUGCAGUCACAUCAACAGCAAAUGCAAAAUCUGCCAUCCAGUCCUCAUCUGAGAGCUGUGGGAUGUCUUUGCCUUUUUUCUCACAAAACCCUUGAAUCUCUGCUUUCAGGUCCCAAACUCUUUUUAGCACUUUGCCCAGGCUGAGCCAUCUGACAGCUGUCUGGUAGCUGAUGUCACUAUGCUCACUCUCAUGCUCCUCCAAAAGUGCAACAAACUGUCUGUGAUUCAAUGCUCGUGCCCUGAUGAAGUUUACUAUUUUAGUUACAACAUCAAUAACAUGGUUAAUUUUUAGCACUGACUUGCACAACACAUGCUGGUGUAUAAUACAAUGCAAAAAUACCAAUUUCUGGUCUGCGUCGAUUUCACUCACUUUAUCUUGCAUACGUUUCAAAAGACCGACAUUUCUCCCGGUAAGAUUCGGACAACCGUCCGUAGUGACACCAGCCAUUCUGUCCCAUCUCAGUCCCAGUGUGUCCAUGCACGCAUUUAACUCCAUGAUCAAGUCUCUCCCUGUCGUUCUCCCUUUCAUUGGCCGGAUUGCAGCCAGCUCCUCCGUAAUCUUAAAGUCCGUUAUCCCACGAACAAACACGAGUAACUGGGCUGUAUCACGGACAUCAUAGCUCUCGUCCAAAGCCAAGGAGAAAAAGUCAAAACUUGCCACUUCACUUUCCAGCUGAAGCUUCAGGUUUCCCGCGAUGUCCUCAAUCCUCCUGGUCACGGUUCGCCGGGAAAGCGGGACUUGCUCAAAUGCUUCCCUUUUUUCAGGGCAUAUUAGUGCUGCAGAGUCCACCAAGCACUCUUUCACAAACCCCCCCCUCUGAGAAUGGCUUACAGUUUUUAGCGAUUUUGUGGGAUAUCACAAAGCUCACAUGUUUAUUUUGUAAUUCCCUAUUAACACGGGCCAGUGAGAGUCAAGCAAAGGGCCGUAUGUGGCCCGCGGGCCGUAGUUUGCUCACCCCGCUUUUUUUUUUUUUGUUGCACAAAGUAGUACUGUUUUGGCAGUCGCUGCUUGUUGCACACAAAGUUGAUACAGUACAAUAUUUUGUAAACCUAUCCUCUGUUAGGACAAUAUUUUGUGGCAGUGUAUGAUCUGAUUGGUGGUGAUCCCUGAUUGGUGCCCCUCAUACCCAGCCAGCCCAUCAGUGCAGGGGGGCGUGGCUUCAUCAGUGAUUGGUUUCAGAUGUGCCAUCAGGUGCACUAAUUGAACCUCCUAUUUAGAAAGGACUCUGCAUUCAGGCUGGCUGUUUGUGUCAUGUGAAUUGUGUUGCAGUGUCAAUCUGUCACCAUAAUUGUUUGGGUGUGUUUGUGCUGGUGUUCUUACGUAGUACUUUGUCAGGGAAAACUUUCCUAACACAAUAAAGCAUUCAAGCCUAAUGGUGCCAAAAUGAAUUUUAAGACCUGAAGCAUUUCAGAAAAAUGUAUAAAGAAGUUUUGAUUCAUGUCUUGCGAUGUCGUAUGCUCAUUAGGGACACCUAUUUCCAGCAAUUGUGUGGAAAUCUUCAAUAGUAGAAAAAAGAACAGGUUAACGGCGGCCGUGCUGCAGCGAUGGCUUUUAUGGCAGACAGUCGUUCCCUAUGCUCAUGUAGAAUAAAAAUGCUUCCCUUUGCUCUUAAUUGUCUGUAAAGAGCCGCACACGUAAUCACAGAGGCAACUCAGUUGCAGGACAUUAAAUUUGAACAAUGGCAAAUUGACCAGCCUUUACAAUGUCAUAAAUUCCAUUUAGUCUUAACAUUAUUGGCAAAAUUUCAUGAAAGUUUCGUUCCUUCAUUUUAGGUUUUUCUGAUGUCAUUGAUCUUGAUAGAAAUUUAGAAAAACAUACAGAGAUCAUAAAACCACGUCACGUCCCGAACCCAAACUUGCAUAUGAGUGGGGAAUUCAGUUGGAUUCUGUCAGAGUGUAAAUUAUGCUGUUGGGAAUAUACAUAUAUUGCCGUGGGAAUAUUGAAACAACCUCCCUAGGUAAAUUGAAUGACCUUAUCAUGCAUAUAGAUAAUUUCUUGAAUGAUUAUAUACAUUAAUUAUCACAGGCCAUCGAACUGGGGUGCCGUGGGCCAAUCGGAAUGCUCAUCUCCCUGGUUCCACUGUUUUAUAUGUAUUUUGCGCUAGCCAUGAUGUUCAGUUGAAAUAAACCACAGUAGCGGCAACCCUAGUGUGAUCAUUGACACAUCCGAGAGCAAACUUUUACGUACAUGGUGUCAGGAAUAAGAUGAGCCUUCUCGCCGGCGAGUUUUUAUCUUUUCUUUACCGUGUACGUGUAGUGCUCGUUUAUUACGUUACGUUUUGUUCGCGUUGGCUACCAUAACGACAACAAGCCGCUCUUCUUUCCUGAAAUGGCGGACGUAUUUUGCAGACCCGACCCCCACAUUUUCAACUAGAACAUCGCAGAGAAUUGCCGUGUUUUUGAAAGGGAAUAUGCUGUCUUCAUUGCCGCGGCACAGCCAAGACCAGGCUUACGUCCUCCUCAACAUCGCUGAAACAUCGAGCGGGAGGGUCUAUGCCCCAAAGGUGCGGGUUCCUGACGGUGAAGGAUGGUUAAGGAUUGUCACUAGAGAAGAUCCGGUGUGCCUUAAAAGAAAGUUAGCUGAAAUCGGCAACCCACAAAACAAAAUUUGUAACCAAACGGAAACUACAGGUUCAAGAGGCUCCGUUUCUAGUUCAAAAGUUGAAACGGGUUGAAUCGGACAAAAAUGCUAAAAGUUAUAGUAAAUGUUAUAUUUAAGUCACUACUGGUUUCAUUUAAGGCACUUGUUGAAAUAAGGUCAAUUUAUUUGGUGCACUUCCGGUUUACCUGAGAUCACUUCCAGUUUGUUUUGGGGCACUUCAAAGUCAAAGUCAGCUUUAUUGUCAAUCUCUUCACAUGUCAAGA
Molecule: long non-coding RNA, 11059 nt
Organism: Syngnathus typhle (broad-nosed pipefish)
Lineage: Eukaryota; Metazoa; Chordata; Actinopteri; Syngnathiformes; Syngnathidae
Exons: 5
Source: RefSeq, a predicted model, not a curated record